GCUGGCGGCACGCCUAACACAUGCAAGUCGAACGAAGUAGCAAUACUUAGUGGCAGACGGGUGAGUAACAUGUAGGUAUCUACCCUAUGGUUUGGAAUAACACGAGGAAACUUGUGCUAAUACCAAAUAAGUCUUUACGGAGAAAGCUUUAUGCGCCAUUGGAUGAGCCUGCACUUGAUUAGUUUGUUGGUGGGGUAAUGGCCUACCAAGACAAUGAUCAAUAGCUGAUUUGAGAGGAUGAUCAGCCACAUUGGGACUGAGACACGGCCCAAACUCCUACGGGAGGCAGCAGUGGGGAAUCUUGCACAAUGGGGGAAACCCUGAUGCAGCGAUGCCGCGUGAGUGAAGAAGGCCUUUGGGUUGUAAAGCUCUUUCGUCGGGGAAGAAAAUGACUGUACCCGAAUAAGAAGGUCCGG
This 416-nucleotide ribosomal RNA is filed under the name uncultured bacterium. RNAcentral's name for it is "bacterial SSU rRNA". It matches the Rfam family "Bacterial small subunit ribosomal RNA", at positions 35 to 496 of the family's 1533-position model. The record is from RNAcentral.